CGGGGAUUAGCGUAGUUGGCUAGCGCGCCUGCUUUGGGAGCAGGAGGUCGGCAGUUCGAGUCUGCCAUCCCCGACCA
Molecule: transfer RNA, 77 nt
Filed under: Candidatus Berkelbacteria bacterium CG10_big_fil_rev_8_21_14_0_10_41_12
Lineage: Bacteria; Candidatus Berkelbacteria
Description: tRNA-Pro
Rfam family: tRNA
About the family: Transfer RNA (tRNA) molecules are approximately 80 nucleotides in length. Their secondary structure includes four short double-helical elements and three loops (D, anti-codon, and T loops).
Source: RNAcentral